This 363-nucleotide long non-coding RNA is filed under the name Olea europaea subsp. europaea. The record is from RNAcentral. Lineage: Eukaryota; Viridiplantae; Streptophyta; Magnoliopsida; Lamiales; Oleaceae.
AAUCCGACACUUCGUGAAUUUGCUUUACAAUGAUAGGAAGAGUCGACAUCGAAGUAUAAAAAAGCAACGUUGUUAUGAACGCUUGGCUGCCACAAACUAGUUAUCCCUGUGGUAACUUUUUUGACACCUCUAGCUUCAAAUUUCAAAGGUCUGAAGGAUCGUUAGGCCACGCUUUCAAGGUUCGUAUUUGCACUAUAAAUCAGAAUCAAACGAGCUUUUACUCUUCUGUUCCACACGAAAUUUUUGUUCUUGUUGAGCUCAUCUUAGGACACCUGCAUUAUCUUUUAACAGAUGUGCCAUCUCAGCGAAACUCCUCAUCGACAAUGUCUUUAGCUCGGAUCAGCCCGCGAAGUGAGCCUUGGG